Molecule: ribosomal RNA, 1773 nt
Filed under: Shigella sonnei
Lineage: Bacteria; Pseudomonadati; Pseudomonadota; Gammaproteobacteria; Enterobacterales; Enterobacteriaceae
Description: partial 23S ribosomal RNA
Rfam family: Bacterial large subunit ribosomal RNA
Source: RNAcentral
CCGGAGAAUGUUAUCACGGGAGACACACGGCGGGUGCUAACGUCCGUCGUGAAGAGGGAAACAACCCAGACCGCCAGCUAAGGUCCCAAAGUCAUGGUUAAGUGGGAAACGAUGUGGGAAGGCCCAGACAGCCAGGAUGUUGGCUUAGAAGCAGCCAUCAUUUAAAGAAAGCGUAAUAGCUCACUGGUCGAGUCGGCCUGCGCGGAAGAUGUAACGGGGCUAAACCAUGCACCGAAGCUGCGGCAGCGACGCUUAUGCGUUGUUGGGUAGGGGAGCGUUCUGUAAGCCUGCGAAGGUGUGCUGUGAGGCAUGCUGGAGGUAUCAGAAGUGCGAAUGCUGACAUAAGUAACGAUAAAGCGGGUGAAAAGCCCGCUCGCCGGAAGACCAAGGGUUCCUGUCCAACGUUAAUCGGGGCAGGGUGAGUCGACCCCUAAGGCGAGGCCGAAAGGCGUAGUCGAUGGGAAACAGGUUAAUAUUCCUGUACUUGGUGUUACUGCGAAGGGGGGACGGAGAAGGCUAUGUUGGCCGGGCGACGGUUGUCCCGGUUUAAGCGUGUAGGCUGGUUUUCCAGGCAAAUCCGGAAAAUCAAGGCUGAGGCGUGAUGACGAGGCACUACGGUGCUGAAGCAACAAAUGCCCUGCUUCCAGGAAAAGCCUCUAAGCAUCAGGUAACAUCAAAUCGUACCCCAAACCGACACAGGUGGUCAGGUAGAGAAUACCAAGGCGCUUGAGAGAACUCGGGUGAAGGAACUAGGCAAAAUGGUGCCGUAACUUCGGGAGAAGGCACGCUGAUAUGUAGGUGAAGUCCCUUGCGGAUGGAGCUGAAAUCAGUCGAAGAUACCAGCUGGCUGCAACUGUUUAUUAAAAACACAGCACUGUGCAAACACGAAAGUGGACGUAUACGGUGUGACGCCUGCCCGGUGCCGGAAGGUUAAUUGAUGGGGUCAGCGCAAGCGAAGCUCUUGAUCGAAGCCCCGGUAAACGGCGGCCGUAACUAUAACGGUCCUAAGGUAGCGAAAUUCCUUGUCGGGUAAGUUCCGACCUGCACGAAUGGCGUAAUGAUGGCCAGGCUGUCUCCACCCGAGACUCAGUGAAAUUGAACUCGCUGUGAAGAUGCAGUGUACCCGCGGCAAGACGGAAAGACCCCGUGAACCUUUACUAUAGCUUGACACUGAACAUUGAGCCUUGAUGUGUAGGAUAGGUGGGAGGCUUUGAAGUGUGGACGCCAGUCUGCAUGGAGCCGGCCUUGAAAUACCACCCUUUAAUGUUUGAUGUUCUAACGUGGACCCGUGAUCCGGGUUGCGGACAGUGUCUGGUGGGUAGUUUGACUGGGGCGGUCUCCUCCUAAAGAGUAACGGAGGAGCACGAAGGUUGGCUAAUCCUGGUCGGACAUCAGGAGGUUAGUGCAAUGGCAUAAGCCAGCUUGACUGCGAGCGUGACGGCGCGAGCAGGUGCGAAAGCAGGUCAUAGUGAUCCGGUGGUUCUGAAUGGAAGGGCCAUCGCUCAACGGAUAAAAGGUACUCCGGGGAUAACAGGCUGAUACCGCCCAAGAGUUCAUAUCGACGGCGGUGUUUGGCACCUCGAUGUCGGCUCAUCACAUCCUGGGGCUGAAGUAGGUCCCAAGGGUAUGGCUGUUCGCCAUUUAAAGUGGUACGCGAGCUGGGUUUAGAACGUCGUGAGACAGUUCGGUCCCUAUCUGCCGUGGGCGCUGGAGAACUGAGGGGGGCUGCUCCUAGUACGAGAGGACCGGAGUGGACGCAUCACUGGUGUUCGG